GAAGUGUUCGGAUCGCGGCGACACGGGCGGUCCGCUGCCCGCGACGUUGUGAGAAGUCCACUGAACCUUAUCAUUUAGAGGAAGGAGAAGUCGUAACAAGGUUUCCGUAGGUGAACCUGCGGAAGGAUCAUUG
Molecule: ribosomal RNA, 133 nt
Filed under: Coronilla valentina subsp. glauca
Lineage: Eukaryota; Viridiplantae; Streptophyta; Magnoliopsida; Fabales; Fabaceae
Description: partial 18S ribosomal RNA
Rfam family: Eukaryotic small subunit ribosomal RNA
Source: RNAcentral